Peromyscus californicus insignis is the source of this 4469-nucleotide long non-coding RNA. RefSeq lists it as uncharacterized. The record is from RefSeq and is a predicted model, not a curated record. Lineage: Eukaryota; Metazoa; Chordata; Mammalia; Rodentia; Cricetidae. The transcript is spliced from 4 exons.
CGGUGCCCUGGGGCUGAGUCUACCUCCCAGGAGAGAACCGUGACUAAGCCGACUUAUGAGGCAGAAGAAUAGCAUGGAGACUAUGAUGGGGAAAGCCCUGUGGGAAGGCUGCAAAGUGAUCAUAUGAAAAGAACAGGUUGACAAAAUAGGAGGCUGAAGGGUUUGCAAAGGCGGUGGCUCUUCUGGGACGUGUCACUUGUGGUUACUGCUCCUGCAGUUGAUGUCUGUGACGGCUUUUGCCCACUGCUGGCGUUUCCAUCUCUGCCAUCACUGCUGUCGCGGGACAGCUACCACAGUCUCUACUGUCACUUAGCUGCCACACCUUCUGUCUUUGCCAUGGCCUCUUCACUUCGUGUUACCAGCUCAGCCCACUUGAUUCAUGACGAAUCAAACUAAGCAAGAAAAAAGAGCGCUCAGGAGAAGGCUCACUUUGCAGCAACAGCGGCAGCGGCAGGCAGGAGGAUAGGCUUUGUUAUAAAAAAGAGAUCUUCAUGGCCACAGGCAGCUGUCCAUGAUCAGGCCUUGAAAUGAGAGAGGAUUAGAAGAAAGGGAACACCAUACCAAAGGCAGCAUGGUACAAGCCUUAAAGGGAGAGACUCCAGUUCUGAAGAACAAAGAAGUCUUCUGAGUCAAGGAAGACUGACCCUGUGUGGAAUGGCCAAAAUAGAAAAAAUGAAGUUAAUUGCCUGUUCCCUAAGUUUACACCGCCUAGACGGCAUGUGUGGACAUGAAAGUCCAUGUGGAACAAUUGGAUACAUCGAGACAACUAAGGUAAGACCUGGAGGAUUCCUGAAGGGUGUGGGACUGCAAGAGCUCCCUAUCCCCGGAAUGUGCAGCCUGAUGGGGUAUGGCCCGUUUAUACUGAGAGUAUAAGGUAAAGUGGGUCAUUUCACACACACACAAAGGGCGGCUGCCUUUCUGUCUGACAAGUUUGAAGACACAGGGGAGAAAAAGAAAGAAAAAUGAAAAGCAGAGAGUGAUGAAGAUUUGUGCUGAGCUCACCUUCUCCUCAAGACCAGGAUCCCAAUCGAGGAACAGGGCAGCCCACAGUGGCCACCUCUUCUCAGCUCAGUUCACCUAAGCAAGGCAAUCUGUCUUGGCCAUGCCCCACAGGCUGCCUCUGGUGUGGUUCUAGAGCUUUUCAAGUUCCACAACGGAGAUUAACCACCACCCUGCCACCAGCUUUCAAUCAGUGUGGGUAAAGAGAAAGCAGGGGCUGCCUCUGUCUGAAAGACCUGUGGAAGAAGUAAAGCCACACACCCCAUUGUACUAACGACAGCCUUUGCCAUGAGGACCUCAGCGGUAUAAGUUUCUUGCAGAUGUGACCAUUACCCUUAGUGUUGGAGAGAGCUAAGUUGGCCUGGGGUACCACAGGCCUUGGUUAUUCAGCAGUCAUUACCAAGGCCAUUUCCGUCUCGUAGAAACAUGGCUGGACAGAUUCCCAGCCUCCAUUUCAAUAAAGUGCAACUUUACUGCUGUAUUCUAACCUGUGGGACAUCUGUGGACCAUAACUUUCUAGGCCUGGCCAGGAAAUCACUCACCCGUCCCUGAGCCCCCCUCCUCCAUCUACCUGCAAGUGGAAUGCCAAUGUCCAGGGCAACUAUGGAGGAAGGUACAAGAAGAAGACCACAGAGCACGGGCAGCCUGGACUCCUGGAUGAAUCCUUCCAGUGAGUACUGUACUCUGAGAGUAAGACGUAAAAUUCAGCUGCUGAAGUGACUGUGCUAGUUCAUCACAGCGGCUAGCGGCACGGGUCAGUGUCUGCCUAGGUCCGAAAGUCAUGCUUGGGGUGCGGGAGUUCUCAGCAGCCUUUGAUGUUUCCCCUAAUUAGUUAAACCAGCCACUGUGGCUCUGGAACCAGUGUCUGCAAAUGAAUAAAUAAAUCAUGGGCAAAAAAACACUGGACAAACAACAAUCAGACCUGCCAGAAGUAUGUGCCCUGGAGGGCAGUGUUGGGCAAGAUGGUAGAGUAGCUCCUCCCCCGGGCUCCUUUGUGCAGAAACAGCCUGAAGCAGCCGGGGAUGUAUUCUCGGGAAGUGAGACCUCCAGCUCUUGGUGGCAGUUCACAAGAGGCCCGGAAAGAGAGUGGCCAGCCCAUCUCUACUGUCUAGUGGCUGAGCAGGGAGGAAGGAAACAGAGGGAGGCGACAGUGCCAGUAAUUAAUUUAGGAUCAGGGCAGUGCACACCCUGGGAUUGGAUGGCUGGGACAAGGGGGAGGGGCAUCUGCCACCUUCUCCAUCUUUCCAGGGAACUUGUAUCCAGGUGCAAAUUUUUGAACAAUAAAUAGCAUGGCUCAUAUAAUAUAGAAUGACUAUGUGCCAAAGAUCAUUAACUAAAUAAUGAGAGGCCCAGUAAGAUGCUGAGUGUGCUUAUGACUUUAUUUUGAAAAACAGGAGAUAUACAGUUGGCCACAAAGAACAUUCUGAAAUGAACUCACUGUUAGAUAGAAAACUGGAAGAGAUUGAAAACAAUAAACUAUAACCUCUUUUUAUUUAUUUUUAACCAGAUGAGAUCUACAUGCUGCAUAUAACUCAGGGUCUAAUUGUGCGUGGGGGGAGCUAAACACAGAUCCACUCACCAUGUCACUCAUGAAUGCCCACAGAUGUCUGUCAAACAGUACUCUCUUGUAAUGUGAGGGAACGUGAUGCUGCCUCUCAGCUUUAUUUCUAAGUUUUAAAAGAUUUUUUUGCUAAUAGUCCUCCUGUUUUUGGAUCAUAGAAAAUCUUCAUAGACCAUUCUCAGUCAUGGGAAAUGGCUGGUUUCAUUCUGUAUUAGUCUGAUUAUUUUCAAAAGUGGCUUUAAGUCACCAUAAAAUUACCCUUCAGCGUGCAGACUGGGAAACUCCCAAGGCCCAGACUUGACUUCUGUCUGGAAAUUUCGUUGAGGUGUCUGAGACUGGGCUUUACAGGUGCCAUUAUUUGAUCAUCUAAUCCCAAACCUAGAAGUCAAAUCCCUGAGUGCCCAACUGAUGCCACAGGCAAUGCCUAUUGAUAGGAACUUUACUGUCUAGAGGAUGGCCCGGUUCUAUGCCCUCUGGUCUCUGUAAACACUGAGCCCACAUGCUAACCAUGGUUCUCCCAAGCAUGGCUUCUCAUAACUUAAAGGCAGCCAGUCCUCAUGACUGUCCAGAUCAGGCCUUAGCUGCACAGGUGACUGGUGAAAGUCAAAUUCAGAACAAAUAGAAUGGAAUUUCCACUAAAGCUUUGCAAAUAACUGCACCAUUGUGCAAAGUGGAGCAUCUAUCUAAGUGAAAUCAUGAGCCUUCUUCGGGUUCUGCGGUGCUAGAGACUCAGGUACCAUCACAAGCCUUGUGGUUUAGGGUUCCAAGAUUGUACUUCUUCACACAUCCUCCUGAAAUAGGGUGUUGACAAAUACACAGAGCUACAGUUAGCUUUCUCCUGUGCAUAAGCUCUGUCCUCUAUGGUGACUUUUACCCCACUAAGCCAUGGAUAAGCCGCUGCUUCCAUGGAACUGUUUCAGGACUAGCAGUUCCCAACCUGUGGGUCACGACCAUUUGGGGGUCACAUGUCAGAUAUCCUGCAUAUCAGAUAUUUACAUUAUGAUUCAUAGCAGUAGCAAAAUUACAGUUAUGAAGUAGCAAUAAAUAAUGUUAUGGUUGGGGGUCACCACACCAUGAGCAACUGUAUUAAGGGCUGCAGCAUUAGGAAGGUUGAGAAACAUUGUCUAGACUAAAGAACUCCUCAAGUUCUGACCAGUCCCUGGCACAGUCUAAAUGAAGGCAGUCUUACUCUCUGAAGCUCGCACCAGGAAGGUGGGUGUGAAGCUUCAGUCAUCACUGGUACCCAGGGUCAUCCUUUUCUAGAAACUCAAGCCUGUGCUUCCUCCCUGAAGUUGCUGGAGGUCUGUGGAAUUCAUGAAAGCUCCGAGGACAGUGAAAUCAUCUAGAGGAAGCAGUGUAUGACUGUGGAUUUGCAGUGAAUAAUUGUUCUGGUUAGUUUUUUUUUUUUUUUAAUAAAUUUGACACAGCUGGGGGUUCUCAAACUGUGGGUCGAGACCCCCUUUGGAGUUGCAUAUCUGAUAUUCUGCAUAUCAGGUAUUGAUAUUAUGAUUCAUAACAGUAGCAAGAUUACAAUUAUGAAGUAGCAAUGAAAAUAAUUUUAUGGUUGGGGGUCACCACAACAUGAGGAACUGUAUUAAAGGGUCCCGGGAUUAAGAAGAUUGAGGAAUCACUGACCUGGAGUCAUCUGGGAAGAGAAACUUAAUUGAGAAAAUGUCUCCAUCAGAUUGGCCUCUAGGCAAUUCUGUGGGGCAUUUUCUUGAUAAAUUAUUGAUGUGGGAGGGAAUGCCAUCCUUGGACAGGUGGUCCUGGAUCGUAUAAGAAAGCAGGAUUAGCAAGCCAAGGAGUAAGCCACCGAGUAGCACUCUUCUGGCCUCUAUACCAAGGGUUCUCUUGAGUGUCCUUUUGGCUUCCCCUGAUGAUGGCCUGUAACCUGUAGGUUGAAUAAACC